ACAGUCCACCGUAACCUUCCGAACUCACGGUCGACUCGACCGCACUGCUCAGCGCACAUGGUGGGUCCCAUCAGAGCGCGACUCCCUCUGCUCCUUCUCCUUCUCUUUCUCAAUCGUUCCCCAUUUUCCCUUUCCAAUUUUUCGCCCCUCUCACCGCCUCAUCAAUCCCUGUGCCGCUCGCCAUCGAGGAGGUGGCUCGACGACCAUGCCUGAUGCCCGCUGCUGAUUUGGUGGUGCGAGCGGCGGCGGCAGCGGUGUUGGCGUUGAGCUCUGACCGCGAGAUGCAGCCGUUGGAGUGCAGCGGCGCGAGCAGGACCUCCGAGCGGGGCCGCUAGAUCCGCUUGGCGGAGUGCCGGAUCUUGCUUGCCAAAGAGGAGGCGUCCAGGGAGAACCACAUGAGUGGCGGCAGUUUGGAGGAGAGCACCUGUCUGAGUGCAGCGCAGAAAGCAAUCCCUGCAAGUCAUCAUGGAUGUGGAGUAUAGGAAGAGGACAUGAAUCUGGAGAGUUCUGGACAGUUUAUAAAUCAAAUAUCACAAGGCACAUAAGAAUUAAAUUUCUUCAUUUAAAUGCAGGACAAGAAAAAUUCUACGACAUUUGUGUUAACCUUUUUUUUUCCAUUGUCAAAGGUUCUGCUAUCCUCAGGAGCUACAAAAAAACAUACAAUGAUUAUCACUUUUUGGUGCUACAGUAAUUUCUCUGGAAAUGUUUUCCCCAGAUCAGGUUCUAUUUUUCUAUAGUUUAUUUUCCCACAAA
This is a long non-coding RNA of Panicum virgatum (switchgrass), 753 nucleotides long. RefSeq lists it as uncharacterized. The record is from RefSeq and is a predicted model, not a curated record. The transcript is spliced from 3 exons. NCBI's taxonomy places the organism in Eukaryota, Viridiplantae, Streptophyta, Magnoliopsida, Poales, Poaceae.